GAAGGUGUCAGGUGCUGUCUGCCUG
RNAcentral lists this non-coding RNA (25 nucleotides) under Mus musculus (house mouse). The record is from RNAcentral. Lineage: Eukaryota; Metazoa; Chordata; Mammalia; Rodentia; Muridae.